Molecule: ribosomal RNA, 879 nt
Filed under: Trupanea cratericola
Lineage: Eukaryota; Metazoa; Arthropoda; Insecta; Diptera; Tephritidae
Description: partial 16S ribosomal RNA
Source: RNAcentral
AUUAUUGGAAAUGAAAUGUUAUUCGUUUAUAAAGAUAUCUAGUUUUUUUAGAAAUAAAUUUAAUUUAAAAAUUUUUAAUUUUAUUAAUUAAUUAUAUUAAUUAAUAAAUUUAUAAGUUUAAAUAUUUUAAGGGAUAAGCUUUAAAAUAAAUUUUUAUAAAUUAAUAAAUGAUAAUUAAAAUUAUAUGCAUAGAAUUAGUAAUUAUUAAAAAUUUUGUUAUAAAUUAUUUUAUAAAAUAUAUUAUUUAUUAUAGUUUUAAAUUUUUAUAAAAAUAUUUUUUUUAAUUUUGUUUAAAAAGUAAUAAUGAUAAAAUUAGUAUAUAUAUAUUAUGUAAAUAUAAUUUAUUUUGAUAAGUUUAUAUAAAGAACUCGGCAAAUAUUUUACUCGCCUGUUUAACAAAAACAUGUCUUUUUGUGUUAUUUUUAAAGUCUAACCUGCCCAAUGAAUAAAUUUUAAUGGCCGCAGUAUUUUGACUGUGCAAAGGUAGCAUAAUCAUUAGUCUUUUAAUUGAAGGCUUGAAUGAAUGGUUGGACGAAGUAUAAUCUGUUUCAUUUAAAUUUAUUAUAGAAUUUUAUAUUUUAGUAAAAAAGCUAAAAUAUUUUUAAAAGACGAGAAGACCCUAUAAAUCUUUAUAAUUUAUAUUAUUUUUAUUUUUUAUAUUUAUUUUAUUUAAAUAAUUUGAAUUAUUUUGUUGGGGUGAUAUUAAAAUUUAAUAAACUUUUAAUUUAAUUAUUUCAUUAAUUUAUGUUUUAUUGAUCCAUUAAUAAUGAUUAAAAGAAUAAGUUACUUUAGGGAUAACAGCGUAAUUUUUUUGGAGAGUUCUUAUUGAUAAAAAAGUUUGCGACCUCGAUGUUGGAUUAAGAUAUAAUUUUAGGUGUA